AUGAGAACCACUGACACUCCAUCAACUCCAGAAAAGGCUGCUGGAGACAAAGAAGGCGAGGUUAUCAUUACUGGUAUUGGUCACACUUCUCCUGGCAAUCCUGUAAUUUUGGCAAAACAUAGUGCCAAGGAAGAGCGUGCUGCUAUGGAGAAAGGCAAAUGGAGCACUGAUUUAUCCAGCUAUGCCCAUCUUAGUGCUCAAGAGCUCCACUCUGGUUUCCUAAACCGUCUGUACUCAAACCGUGAUUAUGAAGUCGGUUUAUUGAACCUGAUGAAGGAGCGCUAUGAGGUUGAGUUGAGUAAAAAGGAUGCUCAAACCGUGGAUCUUCAAGAGAAUGUAAAUCUCAGCAAGCAGAGGCUUCCAAAGCCAAAGAAGAGCUGA
This 381-nucleotide ribosomal RNA is filed under the name Triticum aestivum (bread wheat). RNAcentral describes it as "partial small subunit ribosomal RNA". The record is from RNAcentral. Lineage: Eukaryota; Viridiplantae; Streptophyta; Magnoliopsida; Poales; Poaceae.